RNAcentral lists this transfer RNA (72 nucleotides) under Ictidomys tridecemlineatus (thirteen-lined ground squirrel). Its description in RNAcentral is "Spermophilus tridecemlineatus (thirteen-lined ground squirrel) tRNA". It matches the Rfam family "tRNA". From Rfam's summary of the family: Transfer RNA (tRNA) molecules are approximately 80 nucleotides in length. The record is from Rfam by way of RNAcentral. Lineage: Eukaryota; Metazoa; Chordata; Mammalia; Rodentia; Sciuridae.
UGCAGUAUUGCUCAGUAGUAGAUCACUUGCUUAGCAUGCAUGAGGCCCCGGGUUCAAACCCCAGUACCACAA